Molecule: ribosomal RNA, 522 nt
Filed under: uncultured microorganism
Description: bacterial SSU rRNA
Rfam family: Bacterial small subunit ribosomal RNA
Source: RNAcentral
GAGUUUGAUCGUGGCUCAGGAUGAACGCUGGCGGCGUGCCUAAUACAUGCAAGUCGAGCGAACAGACGGGGAGCUUGCUCCCCUGACGUUAGCGGCGGACGGGUGAGUAACACGUGGGUAACCUACCUAUAAGACUGGAAUAACUCCGGGAAACCGGGGCUAAUGCCGGAUAACAUGUUGGACCGCAUGGUCCUACAGUGAAAGACGGUCUUGCUGUCACUUAUAGGUGGACCCGCGCCGUAUUAGCUAGUUGGUAAGGUAACGGCUUACCAAGGCAACGAUACGUAGCCGACCUGAGAGGGUGAUCGGCCACACUGGAACUGAGACACGGUCCAGACUCCUACGGGAGGCAGCAGUAGGGAAUCUUCCGCAAUGGGCGAAAGCCUGACGGAGCAACGCCGCGUGAGUGAUGAAGGCCUUCGGGUCGUAAACGUACUGUUAUUAGGUAAGAACGAAACGUAGUAAGUAACGUAUAGCACGUCUUGACGGUACCGUAAUCAGAAGACCACGGCUAACUACGUA